Long non-coding RNA from Salvelinus sp. IW2-2015, 1290 nucleotides. RefSeq lists it as uncharacterized. The record is from RefSeq and is a predicted model, not a curated record. Lineage: Eukaryota; Metazoa; Chordata; Actinopteri; Salmoniformes; Salmonidae.
AGGUCUAGUUGGUACAUGUGUAAUCUCAGCGCUCCAUAAUCUUAUGAGACUUCAGUUACUCAAUCAAGAAUCCAGGAUGUCCUCCCAGGCAGCACCCGGCUGAUGCUGGUCCGGUGUUGGUUCUCCAGGGGCUGUGCUCUGAGCUGCAGUCUCCACUUUCUCCAAGAGGGGGCUCUACACUGCUGUCUCAGCCUCCUGGCCUCCGUUGGCUGCUGACGGGUCACUGCCAACUUCUCUGGUGCCAUGUCUCUAGGCUCUACACCCGUCACAGCUUUGAAUGCUACUUUUCGUUCUGCAUCACCCUCCUGACCUCCGGCCGCUCUCCUUGCUGUAGAGAGCCGUUGUCCUGGCCUUCGGCCCGGUCUCGCCACAGUGCACCACCACGUCCAGUCAGAGGGGAGUCUCUGGAGUUCUGGGCGCCGCUGAACAUGUGCUACAUCCUGUUGGUGGUCUAAGUCCAAGGGGAUGGAUCAAUCAGAACUUGAUUUCCAUUCAAUCUUAGCAGGCAAAGAAUGAGUUGAAUCAGUCAACUGAGAGCAGUAGCACCAAAAAUAGAAUCGCCUCUUAGAAACGUAAAGAUCGGGGUCUUGUUCAGUAGGGAGAAAACAUUUAAAAACUGAGUGAAAUGACGGGAAGUACGACCUCAAUUUGGCCAAUAAGAACACAGAUUUUCAUUUUCAGUCAAUGUUUUUGCUCCAGUGUACACUACUGAACAUGACCCUAGUAGCGUCACAUUUGUUAAUUGAACUUCUCUAUUGUCCUCCACAGAGGAGCAGCACUGCUGCCCGGGUAGUGAGGCUUUACUGCACACAGUGGCCCUGUGUAUGGGGACCCUGCUGGUGCUCAUGCUGACGGUAGGCCGCUAGACUGACAUGCUCCUCAUCCUCGUCACCUUCCUGGGGGGAGGCUGUCUGCCUGCUGCCCUCCCAGGUACUCCCUAAGUUCUGCCCCAGGAGGGAGCAGAAGACAUUCACAAGCAGAUCUGUCUGGCAUUCCAGAAGCCUGUCAUCAGACAGCGACACACAGAAAGACUAUCAGGCUGCAGAAUACCACAACACAGACCAGUUACUGUUUCACUCUACCUCAGACAAAAGAAACUUUUACCUCAAAUACAGCCAUCUACUGGCCUGUCUCACUCAGUGAUACUGUUGAAAUCCAAUACUGUCCCCGUUUACAUAGACAUGUUAAGCUUUGAUGUUGCGCAGCGGUCUGAAGCACUGCUUCUCAGUGCCAGAGGCGUCACUACAGACACCCUGGUUCGAUUCCAGGCUGUAUCACAACCGGCUGUGA